AACGCACCUUGCACUCUCUGGGUCUACUGGAGAGUAUACGUGUUUGAGUAACAGAAGUAUUCUACUCUGAGGAGUAGGAACUGAGGUCUAGCUAUGGCUAUUCCUUUAAAGUGAGGGAGUGUGUGGUAACGACCAGUGCGGUAGGAAUAGGUAGUAUUCUCCCACGAGUUGGGGCCGGAAGCACAUUUUUUUUGAGUAUUCUUUGAACAGCUCUUUUUUGGGCAGCUCUUUGAAAACGGCUCUUCUUUUGAACUUUGUUCUCAAAUCAGGUAGGACUACCCGCUGAACUUAA
Molecule: unclassified non-coding RNA, 292 nt
Filed under: uncultured fungus
Lineage: Eukaryota; Fungi
Description: sequence contains ITS2
Source: RNAcentral